GCGAACGCUAGCGGCGGGCUUAACACAUGCAAGUCGAGCGGAGGGGCAACCCUUAGCGGCGAACGGGUGAGUAACGCGUAGGUAACGUGCCUUCAGGUGGGGAACAACCGUGGGAAACCAUGGCUAAUACCGCAUAAUGUCGAAAGAUGAAAGCCUUCGGGCGCCUGGAGAGCGGCCUGCGUCCCAUUACCUAGUUGGUAGGGUAACGGCCUACCAAGGGAGCGAUGGGUAGCUGGUCUAAGAGGAUGAUCAGCCACACUGGAACUGAGACACGGUCCAGACUCCUACGGGAGGCAGCAGUGGGGAAUAUUGCGCAAUGGGGGAAACCCUGACGCAGCCACGCCGCGUGAGUGAAGAAGGCCUUCGGGUCGUAAAGCUCUGUCGGGAGAGACGAAGGGGUAACCCUGACGGUAUCUCGCAAGAAAGCACCGGCUAACUCUGU
RNAcentral lists this ribosomal RNA (442 nucleotides) under uncultured bacterium. RNAcentral's name for it is "bacterial SSU rRNA". It matches the Rfam family "Bacterial small subunit ribosomal RNA", at positions 29 to 506 of the family's 1533-position model. The record is from RNAcentral.